This 301-nucleotide ribosomal RNA is filed under the name uncultured bacterium. RNAcentral describes it as "partial 16S ribosomal RNA". It matches the Rfam family "Bacterial small subunit ribosomal RNA", at positions 509 to 809 of the family's 1533-position model. The record is from RNAcentral.
CAGUAACCGCGGGAAUACGUAGGUGGCAAGCGUUGUCCGGAAUUAUUGGGCGUAAAGGGCUCGCAGGCGGUUUCUUAAGUCUGAUGUGAAAGCCCCCGGCUCAACCGGGGAGGGUCAUUGGAAACUGGGAAACUUGAGUGCAGAAGAGGAGAGUGGAAUUCCACGUGCAGCGGUGAAAUGCGUAGAGAUGUGGAGGAACACCAGUGGCGAAGGCGUCUCUCUGGUCUGUAACUGACGCUGAGGAGCGAAAGCGUGGGGAGCGAACAGGAUUAGAUACCCCCGUAGUCCCUGUCUCUUAUAA